GUUGCCAACACAAUAUAUACGAUAAACGUCAAACGCUUUCUUUCUUUAUAAUCAGCCUGGCUUCGAUUUGGAUGAAACUCUGUACGCCAAAAAGUAUAUACAUAUUCCUUUUCCAGCUGCGAUAACUCAAGUGUAAGAGGUGGGUUAUCAUGCUGCAAAAUUUGACACGUUAAGAACUAAUUCAGGAUUGGUUACUGGUAGAAAAUAAUUGCACAAAAAUGAAAUACUUUUUAAAGUGCUACUAACUGCAGUCAAUGAACAGGUUUCAAAGAUAUAUAAAAGAAUUUCGUCGACCAUGUUCAUUUGAAAGAGUACAAUGAGCCAAUGUACGUUAAGUCGUUCCAUUCUCUGUCCUUCCUCUCCUUCUCUCUGAUUUCGGUUCCCUUUUUUUGCCUCCUCUUUUUUCUUUUUUCUUUUUAUCUUGCCCUCCCUUCACCAUAUUUGUCGGCCGUCGAAUUCCACGCCGCACCGGUGGAAACGAACGCAGAACAAUAUUUCUCGGUGGUGGCGCGUCGGCUGCCGAUAAAUACGGACUUCGCGCGUACAGCGAAGAGCACCCUACCGGUUUUGCGGUAUCUCGAACGGCUUAAUGGCACUGUUAACUACCGUAUUAUUUAACGGGGAUUUAUACAUUGCAGUCGGCCGAUUAAAACGGCGGGCGGACCGGCAUCGAGGCCUGGUCUACUGCGAAACGAUAUAGGAAGAUCCUGUAACGGACACCGCAGGGGAUCGAGUGUAUCCUUAAUUCCCCGUGAAAGCCAGUGCUGAUCGAAGCGGACGUUUCUAGUGUCCGUCGUUGCUCAUAUAAAAACAGAAAGUAUUAGAUUAUACCGUAUUAGAUCGUACGUAGACUGUCAUUUCAAAUAACAGUUUCGAUAUAUCAAGGUUUUCUAUCGUAUCAGGGAAACAAUCCCAAAAAUGAUAUUCCGAGAUGUUCGAAGAAAUAGCUUUAGUUUUAGUAAAUCGUCAACGCUAUUAACUGUAUACUUCUUUUAUCAAUAAGUAUUUGCCCGCUAUAUAGUUUGCGAAGAGACUAUUAACAAUUAUCGAAACAAAGUAUCAAAGUGAGAAUAAAAUUGCGUAACCAGCACCGUUAUCGUAAUUUAUAUCUAUCGUUUCACUUUCCCAGCGCAGAAAACCAAAUCUUUAUCUCCGUCAGCCACAAAUCACCGAUAGCGUCGUAACCAAAGACUCUAAAUCUCCUGCGCCAUUGGAAUCGCAAUUUCUUCAGCUACCACUACAUCAGCCAUUAGAAUUCCCGCAACACAUCAAAUAGCAAAUGGAAGGCUGUCAGCCGAAAGCAAGGUAAAUUUUCAGCCAAGUACCACGGAACAUCGCGAGGAACGUUCGCGAGCGGAAACAAUUCCGAGGUCGCGAGGUAACACCUCGACUGGAUGUGCAAGGAGGUCUCGAAGGUGAGACGAAGACGUAGAAACAGACUUGGUGCGUCAUCCACGUCACGAUCGCUGCCAAUGGGAUCUCGGAUCCAGCAGGGCGAUGCUAUUGAGUAUUUGCAUCUCUUGCCUUUCGCGGCGAAUGCGAGAGGAAGCUCGCGUUCGUGAGCCGGUGCGACGAGAACGAUGGGAAAUCCGGUUGCUGGCAUAUAGGUAUGCUCACAGAUGGCCGGGUGCGACGAAGACCGUGACAGUAUAUAGGUGAAAACGACGGUGCUGGCUACCAGAAUGGGACAGAGAGCGAGUAUACAGAGAAUAGGAAGAGGAAGAGAGAGUAAGAGGCAAACGAGGGAAACGGAGCAUGGUCGAUGUGUCUAGCCUAGCCUGGUUGGCUGGCUGGCUGGCUGGUUGGUUGGCUGGUUCGGGUGGCUGGAUGAACCAGGGACCGUCUAGGUUGCGUCUGCCCCCGCACAAACUCGGUAUUAUCUAUACGUCUAGACACCCCUGCGCCACCGAGAGAAGACCAUAGCGGUUUGGCGCUCCGCUUGUAAUUUACAGCGCGCCCCGCCGUGUCUCUACAUCUACGAUCCCGCAAAUUUCUCUCUUCGGUCGUGUCUCUUUACCUGUCUUUCUUUCUUCUCUUUUCUUUACAUUUCCUCUCGCUUGACCUUUGCACUCUCCUAGCGUGCACCUGGAUACCUCGAUCCCAUCGGAUCGUACCGAUAAUCGCUCUCCGAGCAGAUGGUAAAGCAUUCGAUCAUAUCGGGAUCGUAUCGGGCUGUUCAAGAAAUUCUUAAUAUUUUUAGUAUAAAUUUCUAUCGAAUAAUGAAACGUUCGAAUAAAUACUACCUCGAAGACGACUAACACGAAACAUUUAACAUUCGUUCAUAAAAUAGAUCUCUUUGUACUCGUUAAUAUUUAUCGUAAUCUUUUAUUACGAACUUACUCGAAAGAGAAAUCCGAGAAAUUAAAUAGUCUAGAAGCCCGUAAGAUCUAUUCGAAGGAGUUCGUUAUUAAAAGGAGCGAAACAUUGUUCGAGAAAAAACCUGUGGAGUUAAGAAUUGAUCGCUAUACGUUCCAUUCCAUUUCUGCUGAUAGUCUGAUGAUUCCAUUUAAAUAUUUUCUAAUUCUCAUUACCAAUUCUCCGCACAAUCUCAUGUACGUUUAUGUACUUGCACGUUUAUGUGUAUAAGCAUCAAUGACAGUCGAAAAUUGAUAGCCAUGUAAAUUACAAAUUCUAAAUCGUCCAAUCUAAAAGAAAAAGACAUCUGGAAAAAUAUUCGAUUGAUAAGAGAAAUGCAAGAACGAUAAGAGUAACGUGUUAUAAGGACUUCGAGCGAUGGACACGCGAAUCGCUACGGGAAUUCCUCUCUCGGACUGCCGAUGGAGCUCGCGUGCGCGAUGCCGCCACUUCAGACAUCACCGGCGUACGAGUGAUCGAGGGGAUCACGGCCACGUGAAAAGGGAAGCAGCCGUCAAUUGGUAUACACGGUGUACACACGAGACGUGCGUGAAGAGAGUGCGAAUAUUGGUAUCGCGAUAACGAACGGGAAACCCUCGCGUGUCCGAAAGUACGAGCCACCCCAGCCAGUGCACGUUAUCCACGGAACACGCGUGCAUUAUAUCGACGAUCUCUCGGUGAUUAAUGCCAGCUGUUAGUACCAGGAGGCUCCAGUCAAUUGAAUCUCAUCGUUCGGCCGCAUAUAAGCCUCGCUCGGUUGCCUUUAUCCGUCUCUCUCUCUCUCUCUCUCUCACUCACACCCUCUCUGUAACACACGAACCAACUAUCCCGGUUUUCGAAGAAGAGUUGCAACGUCGACGCGUAAAUAAUAAAUCCUAUGGAAUCGCCUUACCGUGUCGGGAAGAAGAGAAGAGGAGAGGAGAGGCGCUGUUCAUUUCUCGAGGCUGCAGGUAACGGAAAGAAUAAAGUUUUCCUGGUGGACCCGUGGAUAGUAAAGUCCCUGGCAAGUCCGUGGCACGUUAAACUUUCCAGUUUCGAGAACGCAAUUUUCCCAAGGGAAUCAGUCCUCGCUAAUGCAAGAGUGGUUAUAGACGGAGAAAGAGAGGAAGGGAUAGAGAGAAAACAGGUAUAAAGGGGGACGAUAUUAUGGGAGAGGGAAACUGUGCGCGGGCGGGAAUGGCGACGAGGAGUUUGAGGGUUGAACGAGCUGACGCUUUAAGCGAUUAAGGAAAUUAUGCUACGAGAUAAGUUAUCUCGGCGCAACUGGUCCAGAAAGUAUGAACACCUGUCGGGUGAAUUUUUUAAGAAGGUACCACAAACCAGCUGGAAGAAAACGCAUAGUGCAGUAUCGGCGAUGCGCACCACACGAAUUUUAAUGUUCCCCGGUGUCACUGACCGUAGGUGCUGGCCGAAGAAUGCAGAAAGGAGGGAUUUCCGGCGGACACUUUCCAACACAAACCACCGGAAGAUGCGAUUAAGCGUUCACCAAUUCUUCUGAAACCAUCGCCGUCCAUUCCCAGAACGGCAUCCGGUCACUGGUAUAUCUCGCCGAAACGAACGAUAGAACCACCCAUUGAACCUAGUGAAUUUCGCGUCAUGCAGCAAAGAUUCAUUUUUCUCGGUUAAGUGGAGAAUUCGAGUAAAUUAUGGAAUAUAUAUUUCAUACACCAGAG
Bombus terrestris (buff-tailed bumblebee) is the source of this 4028-nucleotide RNA transcript. RefSeq lists it as uncharacterized. Lineage: Eukaryota; Metazoa; Arthropoda; Insecta; Hymenoptera; Apidae. The transcript has 3 exons. The record is from RefSeq and is a predicted model, not a curated record.